Molecule: long non-coding RNA, 1277 nt
Organism: Cyprinus carpio (common carp)
Lineage: Eukaryota; Metazoa; Chordata; Actinopteri; Cypriniformes; Cyprinidae
Source: Ensembl
CUUCAAAAACAACUGUGUGAGCUAAAUGAGCACAGGAAUAGACCAUAAUUUCCUACUUCCGCAUUAAAUUCAGAGUAGCUGAAAAGAACUCUGUGAAAGUGAAGUGAUGUUGCCUGUGCUUAUAUAGAGUUCAGAUGUCCUGCAGCGAGUGUCUGUAUACGAUGAGGAGUUUUACACUUUCACAUUUCCAACUCCUGUAUCUUCUAAUAGCAGGUUUAUCAGAAUGCAAAGUGGCGACACAGAGACGCUGCAUGCAGGUUCAUCAGUUGAACAUAAACUGUGUUCAGGGUGACAGCAUGACUAUUUCUUGCCUGACCACAAUCCACCUGCUGGAGUCUCUGACAGUCAAACUACACAAGAAAAACCAAGAUAAAGACAUCCUGAUAAAUCCAGACAUCUCUCCAGCAUCAGAGCACCAGAGAUGGUCUGUGAGGAAAGAUGCUGGAAAUGUUACACUUGAUCUGAAAGACAUCAGAUUAUCUGAUGAUGGCUUUUAUGACUGUCAGGUCUACAAGGAUCAGGACUGCCUUCAUGCAACUACAUUUAACCUGAGGGUCAAAGAGUGUAAAACUUUGGACUCUGUCCAUCCAACACCAGGCUCUUCAGUGUUGCUGCCAUGCUCUGAACAUCCUCUACAAAACAGAACUGAACGAGUCACUUGGAAAGUCAUUACUGGUCAUCAAUCAACAGAUAUAUUUCAGUAUCGGCCACCAAACAAGCCCUCAAGCAGCACAGAGAAACCCCCAAAGUCUCUGUAUGAGAGAGUGAGAAAACUAGCAAACGGAUCUCUGCUUAUAAGAGAUGCAGUCCGCACUGAUGAAUUGUGGUAUCAGUGCAGAGUGAAUGAAAAAACCUGCUAUGAAGUGAAGCUGCUGCUGAAAGAUGAUCCAACCCCAGAGGACAGUACGGUUGUUCAGACUGAACACAACAACAAUUACGAGAGUGAAACAGCGAUAACUAAUUCAACAGUAGUGGUGAUGACCACAGUAGUGUCUCUGUGUGUCCUCAUAUCACUGACCAUCUGUGUCAUUGUGUAUUUCAAAAAACGAAGAUGCAAAAUCGACAGCCAAAUUGAUUUGAACUGUCAGUCUUCCGUGUAUUAUUCUGACAUUUCAGGAGUGUUGGAUGUGCCUUUGUAUUCUUUAGUUCAACGUAACACAUACCAUGGCCACAUCUGGUGUGAACAAACAGAAGCUCCUGCCUGUAAUCCAGACAACAUUUAUGACAACAGAAUGCUGUGAAAUAAAUGACUGUUUGGUUGUUGUUGUUUUUUUUUU